Molecule: non-coding RNA, 942 nt
Organism: Meleagris gallopavo (turkey)
Lineage: Eukaryota; Metazoa; Chordata; Aves; Galliformes; Phasianidae
Source: RefSeq, a predicted model, not a curated record
UGAUGCCGGAAGGGGGUCUUGUGCCUUUUCGUAGUUAGGGGGAAGCAGCCGUCAGAUGAAGCAGGAUUCGAUGAAUCCUGUUUCAGGCAUCUGCUCUGCAGCCCCUGGAGGGAUCCUCAGGUUCACCGCUCGGUCUCACAGGCGUUGUGAUUUGACGUUUUCCAGAUGAGAGCAGACCCAGCUGGCAAGUGCAGAGGGCAGCCAGGGUCAGCUUCCAGUGAGACUUCAGAUACACAAUGCAGAAGAGGUUUCCAUCAAUUCUGGAAGGUAGGUUUGUGCUUGCUGGCUUUGGAAAGAUGGCUGAAGCUUCUCUUGCAUCUUACAUAUAAAACAGAUCGUAUUAUUGCUUAAAACUACACCAGGAGAGAUUGCAGAAGUAUUUGUUGUUACAUGUAGGUGUCUGAAGUGCUGGAUGGAGACCUCAGAACUGCAGGGCUCUAUGUCCAAACAAACUAGCCAUAAAAUCACUAAGUUACAGCUAACAGAUUUUCCUGUUUUUCAGUUUAUUACAAAUCCAAUGAGUGGUCUGGAAUUCACGGCAUAAGGGAGAAUGACCAAAUGGCAUGGUUAAGCAGCAAGAAUUAAAGUAAGAGAGGGUGAUAGAGAAAAUAAUUAUUUUGCCGUAGUUAUUGUAAAAAUUACGAUGCCCAGCUCAUCUUUUUGAUUUCUUGCCUUUGUACUUCUUUUUCAGCCCUGUGUGCCUGAACUGUUUUUUCCUUUUGAUGAUGCUUUUCACAUCCCUAUUGUGAAGCCACCUGUCACGCUCUACUUCCCACUUGAUCUGUUUGAUAUCUGGAAAGAGGAAAGAUGGAAGAUAAGAAGUCAGGAGCUGAUAGAUACUUCUGAACAUCAUGUGGAAUACAGAUAAAUCAUGUAGAAGUUAAAACUUGACUAAUUUAUUUAUAAACGUUAAUAAAAUGCAAACUGCUGAUUUUUUUGACA